This 458-nucleotide ribosomal RNA is filed under the name uncultured bacterium. RNAcentral describes it as "partial 16S ribosomal RNA". It matches the Rfam family "Bacterial small subunit ribosomal RNA", at positions 338 to 795 of the family's 1533-position model. The record is from RNAcentral.
CCUACGGGAGGCAGCAGUGAGGAAUAUUGGUCAAUGGGCGAGAGCCUGAACCAGCCAAGUCGCGUGAGGGAGUACUGCCCUAUGGGUUGUAAACCUCUUUUGUCGGGGAGCAAAAGCCGGAAGUGUCCGGCUGUGAGAGUACCCGAAGAAAAAGCAUCGGCUAACUCCGUGCCAGCAGCCGCGGUAAUACGGAGGAUGCGAGCGUUAUCCGGAUUUAUUGGGGUUAAAGGGUGCGCAGGCGGAUUUUUAAGUCAGCGGUCAAAUCGUGGGGCUCAACCCCAUCCAGCCGUUGAAACUGGGGAUCUAGAGUGUGCGAGAGGUAUGCGGAAUGCGUGGUGUAGCGGUGAAAUGCAUAGAUAUCACGCAGAACCCCGAUUGCGAAGGCAGCAUACCGGUGCACAACUGACGCUCAGGCACGAAAGCGUGGGUAUCGAACAGGAUUAGAUACCCCAGUAGUC